Molecule: transfer RNA, 69 nt
Filed under: Rattus norvegicus (Norway rat)
Lineage: Eukaryota; Metazoa; Chordata; Mammalia; Rodentia; Muridae
Rfam family: tRNA
About the family: Transfer RNA (tRNA) molecules are approximately 80 nucleotides in length. Their secondary structure includes four short double-helical elements and three loops (D, anti-codon, and T loops). Further hydrogen bonds mediate the characteristic L-shaped molecular structure. tRNAs have two regions of fundamental functional importance: the anti-codon, which is responsible for specific mRNA codon recognition, and the 3' end, to which the tRNAs corresponding amino acid is attached (by aminoacyl-tRNA synthetases). tRNAs cope with the degeneracy of the genetic code in two manners: having more than one tRNA (with a specific anti-codon) for a particular amino acid; and 'wobble' base-pairing, i.e. permitting non-standard base-pairing at the 3rd anti-codon position.
Source: Rfam by way of RNAcentral
GGGGAUUUAGCUCAGUGGUAGAGCGCUUGCCUAGCAAGUACAAGGCCCUGGGUUCGGUUCCCAGCUCCA